This 250-nucleotide ribosomal RNA is filed under the name uncultured bacterium. RNAcentral describes it as "partial 16S ribosomal RNA". It matches the Rfam family "Bacterial small subunit ribosomal RNA", at positions 524 to 773 of the family's 1533-position model. The record is from RNAcentral.
UACGUAGGGUGCAAGCGUUAAUCGGAAUUACUGGGCGUAAAGGGUGCGCAGGCGGUUCUGUAAGUCAGAUGUGAAAUCCCCGGGCUUAACCUGGGAACUGCGUUUGAAACUGCAGAGCUAGAGUGCAGCAGAGGGAGGUGGAAUUCCAUGUGUAGCAGUGAAAUGCGUAGAGAUAUGGAAGAACAUCGAUGGCGAAGGCAACCUCCUGGGCUAGCACUGACGCUCAUGCACGAAAGCGUGGGGAGCAAAC